UACGUAGGGUGCGAGCGCUGUCCGGAAUUAUUGGGCGUAAAGGGCUCGUAGGCGGUUUGUCGCGUCGGGAGUGAAAUCCACUGGCUUAACUGGUGGCUUGCUUUCGAUACGGGCAGACUGGAGGUAUGCAGGGGAGAACGGAAUUCCUGGUGUAGCGGUGAAAUGCGCAGAUAUCUGGAGGAACACCGGUGGCGAAGGCGGCAUCCUGGACCGGCAUUGACGCUGAGGAGCGAAAGCCAGGGGAGCAAACGGG
Molecule: ribosomal RNA, 253 nt
Filed under: uncultured bacterium
Lineage: Bacteria
Description: partial 16S ribosomal RNA
Rfam family: Bacterial small subunit ribosomal RNA
Source: RNAcentral